CUAAGAUUUACAAGAUUGGUGUGAUUCUAAUCAGCAGCAUACUGCUCAAGCACUGUUUAUGAGAACAUGUUGAUAUGGAAAAUAGGGCUGAAAAUAUUGUAAAAACACAUUCAGUCUGGUAUGGAAACAACUUCCAAGAAGUUAUUUUUGAACAAUUUCCACUUCUUGUCUUGUCCUUAAACAGGAAACAGUAAGAAUCAUAACAAUAACUAUGUUUAGGUUCUUAAGCUUUACAAAAUCUUGCAAGCAAGUUAAAGUCACUGGCACAAGUACUGGGAAAUUCUUAUUAAAUUCAGAUACAUUUUACCAUACUCAUUUUUUGCUUUCCUGACAAAGAACAACUGUAACUCCAAAGGUAUUUUCAUCAAAAAUACUUUUUAGAAAUCAAAGAUUACGUUCCUGUCUGUGACAAUGCUUUGACAGCAAAGGACUUCUAUCAGCUUUCCUCAGUUGGAGAAACUGGCUGAGAGCUCCUUGUUUAAUGAUUUCUUUAACAUUACUGAUGACAGGUUGUCCUUGUGAACCAUGCCAGGAACUUCUUAUCCUGUCUCUCUCCUCCCCUGCAGCAAUACUUAUGGUAAAUACCCUGGGAGAUGGAAGAUCUGAUGACGAGGAUGACAGCACUGAAGAUUUUUUCCAGAAAGCCUCAGUUUCUUAGCUGUUUGAUACAUCUUACUAGAAGAAAGGUAGACACUGGAACCAUGAAAGACUUGAAGGAAUACAGUGACAUGAGAAACAACCAGGUUUUCCAGUCCUUACUAAUGGUUCCCCUAGAAGAGGACAGACCACAUCCAAUCCAUCAAUAUAAGGAAACUUUCAGGUGCAACAUCGGAUUGAUGGUACUAGUGCCCUGUGGAUGUGCAUCAAUAUCGUACAGUGAAGAAAAGAUCAGUUACACAAUUCCUACAACUGUCAGUCACCACUGAGGCUGAAAAUGGGUAGUGUACAACAGAAGGGACUGCACAAGUAGUUUCUUCUUCAAGAUAAACAUUGGCCUGGCGAACUGGGCUCUUCCAAUAAGUUUCUACUGUGUAAUUUUUCAAAAGUUAAUCAAAUCACUCACCACCUGAGAACUGUUUUCAUCUUGUUUUAAAGAAUAUACUGUGAUUUAGAAAAGUGCUGAGCUCUUUCAGCUGUAACCAAUGAUAAGAGGAGCUAUGCUUGAGCAUGUUAUGCAACGUAAU
RNAcentral lists this long non-coding RNA (1184 nucleotides) under Numida meleagris (helmeted guineafowl). Its description in RNAcentral is "lncRNA (ENSNMEG00000022123.1)". Lineage: Eukaryota; Metazoa; Chordata; Aves; Galliformes; Numididae. The record is from RNAcentral.